AGCUCCAAUAGCGUAUAUUAAAGUUGUUGCAGUUAAAAAGCUCGUAGUUGAAUUUCUGAUAGAAGGGAGCGGUUCCGCAUUCUUGCGGAUACUGGCUCGUCUUCCGUCAUCCUUGGGCUUAGUCUCGCUGAUAUUAACUUAUCGGCGUGUACGAUGCCCAUCGUUUACUGUGAGCAAAUUAGAGUGUUCAAAGCAGGCAUUUUGCCAUUGAAUAUAUUAGCAUGGAAUAAUAAGAUAGGAUUUCACGAUUUUAUUUUGUUGGUUUGCGUUGUGAAAUAAUGAUUAAGAGGGACAGUUGUGGGUAUUCGUAUUCAGAUGUCAGAGGUGAAAUUCUUAGAUUAUCGGAAGACGAACGACUGCGAAAGCAUUUACCAAGGAUGUUUUCA
This 386-nucleotide ribosomal RNA is filed under the name uncultured marine Chaetocerotaceae. RNAcentral describes it as "SSU rRNA". It matches the Rfam family "Eukaryotic small subunit ribosomal RNA", at positions 587 to 972 of the family's 1831-position model. The record is from RNAcentral. Lineage: Eukaryota; Bacillariophyta; Thalassiosirophyceae; Chaetocerotales; Chaetocerotaceae.